GGUGAGGCAGCCAUAUUGUGACCAUGAGGGAAAGACCAUGAGAACUGAAGGGAAAUGGACUCAGAACCCAGAUAUUGUAAGGCUCCUGGAGUCAAGGAGGAAAUAUAUAAAUGUGCAGCAGAUAUGACUUCAUCUCCAAUUUGCUGCCCCUUGAGAGUAUGGCGACCCAAAAGAAGAAGAGAAAAGGGAGUCAGUGAUAUCAACCUCCUCAGCAAGUGACGAUUUCACCCUUCCAACUUCUAUAGUGGAAGACACGCAAAGGAGAAGAGUACUGGGAAUGGAAGCAUGGGUUGGCCACCAAGCAGCAUUUGC
This 312-nucleotide long non-coding RNA is filed under the name Homo sapiens (human). RNAcentral's name for it is "HSALNT0098349". The record is from RNAcentral. Lineage: Eukaryota; Metazoa; Chordata; Mammalia; Primates; Hominidae.